RNAcentral lists this ribosomal RNA (455 nucleotides) under uncultured bacterium. RNAcentral describes it as "bacterial SSU rRNA". It matches the Rfam family "Bacterial small subunit ribosomal RNA", at positions 343 to 795 of the family's 1533-position model. The record is from RNAcentral.
GGGAGGCAGCAGUGAGGAAUAUUGGUCAAUGGACGCAAGUCUGAACCAGCCAUGCCGCGUGAAGGAUGAAGGUCCUCUGGAUUGUAAACUUCUUUUAUGGGGGACGAAACCCGGAUAUUCUUAUCCGAUUGACGGUACCUCAGGAAUAAGCACCGGCUAACUCCGUGCCAGCAGCCGCGGUAAUACGGAGGGUGCAAGCGUUAUCCGGAUUCACUGGGUUUAAAGGGAGCGUAGGAGGGCAGGUAAGUCAGUGGUGAAAUCCCCGUGCUUAACAUGGGAACUGCCGUUGAUACUAUCUGUCUUGAAUGCCGUGGAGAUGAGCGGAAUAUGUCAUGUAGCGGUGAAAUGCUUAGAUAUGACAUAGAACACCGAUUGCGAAGGCAGCUCGUUACACGAACAUUGACUCUGAGGCUCGAAAGCGUGGGGAUCAAACAGGAUUAGAUACCCGGGUAGUC